RNAcentral lists this long non-coding RNA (257 nucleotides) under Prunus dulcis (almond). Its description in RNAcentral is "sRNA ncRNA". Lineage: Eukaryota; Viridiplantae; Streptophyta; Magnoliopsida; Rosales; Rosaceae. The record is from RNAcentral.
AUGACAAGUUCAAGGGUAUUUCUGCGAGUCUGAAUUACACGUAUUUGCAGUUGCUUAGUAAUGACAAGUUCAAGAGUGCGGAGCACAGAGUACUAGCUACCCCACUUGGCAAGCCAAGAAUAUCAGUUGUAUCUUUUUUCCUUCCUUGGGCUAAAAAUCUCCCAUAUACUAGGAUCACCUCUUAUGAAAAGUUUAUGAACCAUUACAGUGUUGUUGCGCAAAUUGGGGGCCGUGCCUUGCCUCACUUUAAAGUGUAG